CUGAAACCAACGGAAAAUAAUUUUGUUAGCUGCACCAAGCGUUUCAAUAGUGAAAAAAUUAAAAAUAUAAGCUAAACAAAAAGGAAUUUUUACCACUUCAUCGAUUGCGUACAAAUCGUCUGAUUAGUUGAAAAUGGUUUCGAAUCGAUUUUCAAUAAUAUAGCGUCGAAUUUCUACCAUUAUUGGACGGCGUUUCAUAAUUUUUACCCGAUCAAUGCUGAGUCUCAAACCCGGUUAGAGAAUGACAGAUUUCAAUCCAGGACUCGAUUGUGAAAGCUUAAGCAAAUAGUAUCGUAAUCGAUUGGACUGACAUCCUGUGCUAGCUGCUGGAAGUGGAAAAUCGGAAAUAGUGUUGCUGGGGAGGAAAAAUUCGGUGCCAAUACUGGACCAGUGGUGAAUUCAGAUUUUUACGCUGGGGCAGUAGGGAUACAAUUUUGUCUCGAAAAGGACAUGGUAUUUGAUUGGGCCUGGGCCAAUCAACAGGAGCUUAAUUUUGUACCUUGAAUGCCAAUCUAGGCUAAGCAUUCAACCAUGAAAUCCCCCAAGGAAUGGUUCACGGAAAUACAAAUGAACGAAAGGGUUCCGAUCCGGCUGUCCGACAUUGACAAUCUGCUUCAGGAAAGCAUUUUCGAAUCGAGCAAUGGAGCCAAACUGGUGGAGUAUAUCAAAAAC
Molecule: long non-coding RNA, 672 nt
Organism: Uranotaenia lowii
Lineage: Eukaryota; Metazoa; Arthropoda; Insecta; Diptera; Culicidae
Exons: 3
Source: RefSeq, a predicted model, not a curated record